RNAcentral lists this ribosomal RNA (158 nucleotides) under uncultured bacterium. Its description in RNAcentral is "partial 16S ribosomal RNA". It matches the Rfam family "Bacterial small subunit ribosomal RNA", at positions 355 to 509 of the family's 1533-position model. The record is from RNAcentral.
UGAGGAAUAUUGGUCAAUGGCCGGGAGGCUGAACCAAGCCAAGUCGCGUGAGGGAAGACGGUCCUAUGGAUUGUAAACCUCUUUUGUCAGGGAGCAAAAACUGCCACGCGUGGCAGGAUGAGAGUACCUGAAGAAAAAGCAUCGGCUAACUCCGUGCC